UCGGGAUAGCUCAGCUGKUAGAGCAGAGGACUGAAAA
This 37-nucleotide transfer RNA is filed under the name Impatiens sunkoshiensis. RNAcentral describes it as "partial tRNA-Phe". Lineage: Eukaryota; Viridiplantae; Streptophyta; Magnoliopsida; Ericales; Balsaminaceae. The record is from RNAcentral.